UAACGGCGAGUGACCGGGAAGAGCUCAAUUUGAAAUCUGGCGUGCUCAGUGCGUCCGAGUUGUAAUCUAUAGAGUCGUUUUCCGUGCCGGACUGUGUCCAAGUCCCUUGGAACAGGGUAUCAAAGAGGGUGAUAAUCCCGUACUUGACACAAUGACCGGUGCUCUGUGAUACGUCUUCUACGAGUCGAGUUGUUUGGGAAUGCAGCUCAAAAUGGGUGGUGAGUUCCAUCUAAAGCUAAAUAUUGGCGAGAGACCGAUAGCGAACAAGUACCGUGAGGGAAAGAUGAAAAGCACUUUGGAAAGAGAGUUAAACAGUACGUGAAAUUGUUAAAAGGGAAACGAUUGAAGUCAGUCGUGACUGAGAGGCUCAGCCGGUUCUGCCGGUGUAUUCCCCUCAGUCGGGUCAACAUCAGUUUUGUUCGGUGGAUAAGGGCAGUUGGAAGGUGGCACCCUCGGGUGUGUUAUAGCCAGCUGUCGCAUACAUCGGAUGAGACUGAGGAAUGCAGCUCGCCUUUAUGGCCGGGGUCGCCCACGUCGAGCU
Molecule: ribosomal RNA, 541 nt
Filed under: Papiliotrema flavescens
Lineage: Eukaryota; Fungi; Basidiomycota; Tremellomycetes; Tremellales; Rhynchogastremaceae
Description: eukaryotic LSU rRNA
Rfam family: Eukaryotic large subunit ribosomal RNA
Source: RNAcentral